UCCAGUCAAACACAAAUGCCAUCUGGCUAA
This 30-nucleotide non-coding RNA is filed under the name Rattus norvegicus (Norway rat). The record is from RNAcentral. Lineage: Eukaryota; Metazoa; Chordata; Mammalia; Rodentia; Muridae.